Molecule: ribosomal RNA, 463 nt
Filed under: uncultured bacterium
Lineage: Bacteria
Description: partial 16S ribosomal RNA
Rfam family: Bacterial small subunit ribosomal RNA
Source: RNAcentral
GAUGAACGCUGACAGAAUGCUUAACACAUGCAAGUCUUUGGCGAAGCUGUGCUUGCACAGCCUAGCCAAGGCGGACGGGUGAGUAACGCGUAAGGAACUUGCCCUGCAGUCAGGGAUAACAGACGGAAACGACUGAUGAGACCUGGUAAAGUCAGGCGGACUCAUGUCCAGCCUGAUGAAAAGAGAUGCUGCAGGAGAGCCUUGCGUCCUAUUAGCUUGUUGGUGGGGUAACGGCCCACCAAGGCGAUGAUAGGUAGCCGGCCUGAGAGGGUGGACGGCCACAAGGGGACUGAGGUACGGCCCUUACUCCUACGGGAGGCAGCAGUGGGGAAUAUUGGACAAUGGGGGCAACCCUGAUCCAGCAAUUCUGUGUGCACGAUGAAGGUUUUCGGAUUGUAAAGUGCUUUCAGCAGGGAGGAAAAAAAUGACGGUACCUGCAGAAGAAGCGACGGCUAAAUACGUG